This 638-nucleotide ribosomal RNA is filed under the name uncultured Lachnospiraceae bacterium. RNAcentral describes it as "bacterial SSU rRNA". It matches the Rfam family "Bacterial small subunit ribosomal RNA", at positions 51 to 691 of the family's 1533-position model. The record is from RNAcentral. Lineage: Bacteria; Bacillati; Bacillota; Clostridia; Lachnospirales; Lachnospiraceae.
ACACAUGCAAGUCGAACGGGAAAUAUUCAUUGAGACUUCGGUGGAUUUGAUCUAUUUCUAGUGGCGGACGGGUGAGUAACGCGUGGGUAACCUGCCUUAUACAGGGGGAUAACAGUCAGAAAUGGCUGCUAAUACCGCAUAAGCGCACAGAGCUGCAUGGCUCAGUGUGAAAAACUCCGGUGGUAUAAGAUGGACCCGCGUUGGAUUAGCUGGUUGGUGGGGUAACGGCCCACCAAGGCGACGAUCCAUAGCCGGCCUGAGAGGGUGAACGGCCACAUUGGGACUGAGACACGGCCCAGACUCCUACGGGAGGCAGCAGUGGGGAAUAUUGCACAAUGGGGGAAACCCUGAUGCAGCGACGCCGCGUGAAGGAAGAAGUAUCUCGGUAUGUAAACUUCUAUCAGCAGGGAAGAUAGUGACGGUACCUGACUAAGAAGCCCCGGCUAACUACGUGCCAGCAGCCGCGGUAAUACGUAGGGGGCAAGCGUUAUCCGGAUUUACUGGGUGUAAAGGGAGCGUAGACGGUGUGGCAAGUCUGAUGUGAAAGGCAUGGGCUCAACCUGUGGACUGCAUUGGAAACUGUCAUACUUGAGUGCCGGAGGGGUAAGCGGAAUUCCUAGUGUAGCGGUGAAAUGCGU